GACGUAGGGCGCGAGCGUUGUCCGGAUUUAUUGGGCGUAAAGAGCUCGUAGGCGGUCUGUCGCGUCGGCUGUGAAAACCCGGGGCUCAACCCCGGGCCUGCAGUCGAUACGGGCAGACUAGAGUGCGGUAGGGGAGACUGGAAUUCCUGGUGUAGCGGUGAAAUGCGCAGAUAUCAGGAGGAACACCGGUGGCGAAGGCGGGUCUCUGGGCCGUAACUGACGCUGAGGAGCGAAAGUGUGGGGAGUGAACAGG
This 253-nucleotide ribosomal RNA is filed under the name uncultured bacterium. RNAcentral describes it as "partial 16S ribosomal RNA". It matches the Rfam family "Bacterial small subunit ribosomal RNA", at positions 524 to 776 of the family's 1533-position model. The record is from RNAcentral.